This 253-nucleotide ribosomal RNA is filed under the name uncultured bacterium. RNAcentral's name for it is "partial 16S ribosomal RNA". It matches the Rfam family "Bacterial small subunit ribosomal RNA", at positions 524 to 776 of the family's 1533-position model. The record is from RNAcentral.
UACGAAGGGGGCUAGCGUUGUUCGGAAUUACUGGGCGUAAAGCGCGCGCAGGCGGUCUUCCAAGUCAGUGGUGAAAGCCCGGAGCUCAACUCCGGAACUGCCAUUGAAACUGUAAGACUUGAGGAUGACAGAGGUGAGUGGAAUUCCCAGUGUAGAGGUGAAAUUCGUAGAUAUUAGGAAGAACACCAGUGGCGAAGGCGGCUCACUGGCCCGGUACUGACGCUGAGGCGCGAAAGCGUGGGGAGCAAACAGG